This 465-nucleotide ribosomal RNA is filed under the name Vreelandella stevensii. Its description in RNAcentral is "partial 16S ribosomal RNA". It matches the Rfam family "Bacterial small subunit ribosomal RNA", at positions 338 to 795 of the family's 1533-position model. The record is from RNAcentral. Lineage: Bacteria; Pseudomonadati; Pseudomonadota; Gammaproteobacteria; Oceanospirillales; Halomonadaceae.
CCUACGGGAGGCUGCAGUGGGGAAUAUUGGACAAUGGGCGAAAGCCUGAUCCAGCCAUGCCGCGUGUGUGAAGAAGGCCUUCGGGUUGUAAAGCACUUUCAGUGGGGAAGAAAGCCUUGGGGCUAAUACCCUCGAGGAAGGACAUCACCCACAGAAGAAGCACCGGCUAACUCCGUGCCAGCAGCCGCGGUAAUACGGAGGGUGCGAGCGUUAAUCGGAAUUACUGGGCGUAAAGCGCGCGUAGGCGGUCUGAUAAGCCGGUUGUGAAAGCCCCGGGCUCAACCUGGGAACGGCAUCCGGACCUGUCAGGCUAGAGUGCAGGAGAGGAAGGUAGAAUUCCCGGUGUAGCGGUGAAAUGCGUAGAGAUCGGGAGGAAUACCAGUGGCGAAGGCGGCCUUCUGGACUGACACUGACGCUGAGGUGCGAAAGCGUGGGUAGCAAACAGGAUUAGAUACCCCGGUAGUC